This 1075-nucleotide unclassified non-coding RNA is filed under the name Portunus trituberculatus (swimming crab). RNAcentral describes it as "uncharacterized LOC123510207, transcript variant X8". Lineage: Eukaryota; Metazoa; Arthropoda; Malacostraca; Decapoda; Portunidae. The record is from RNAcentral.
GAGAGAGAGACAGAGAGAGAGAGAGAGAGAGAGGGACAAGCAGGCAGGUGGGACACGUGAUCUCUUCUCUCCUACCUUCAUUCCAUUUCUCGUGCAUAGGAGGAGGACAAACAUGAGCACAGGAGGAGGAGGAGGAAGAAGAGGAGGAAGAAGAAGAAGAGUAAGAAGAGGAGUCAGCGAUACUUCUAAUACAAAUGGAAGUGAGAGUGAGAGCAUGCAUGAAGAGAUGAGAGGCAACAUACUGACGGAGGGACGCUGCCUUGACGCGGGAGAGAUGCUGGCGUGAAGGACGGACGCGUGAGUGAGUGAGGGAGGAAGGAAGGAAUGAGUCCUGUCUGUGAUGGGGCAACAAAACACAGCACUGCAUCACCAACCUCUCCGACCAGAACCACGCCCUGACUCCCCACUCUCCACUGGGAACACGGGCAUAUUGGCUCCCAGUGGCCCAACAAAUCGUGUGGGGCAUGAUGAACAACACCCCAAGCUUCCCUCCACCAGCAGGACCACCGAACUGAUGCUAGCUGCUCAGGACACCACUACACAUGAACCCGACAGUGACUCUCGUCUAACAGCCCAGGACAUCAUCCUCUCUGGCUCACUCACCACUGCUACUACCGAUGAAGUGCCAAAGAAACUCGGGUACACCCCUAAUUUUAAUAAAGUUGGAGAUACUCUUCCGUGUCCGGAGAUUCUGUAAUGGGGAAUUCAAAUAAAGAUUGUGUUAAGGACUAUCUAUCUCCGGAGUGUCUUCUGAGUAUUUUUUCGACUUGUGGGCCCUGUCAGCAGGUAGACUGGCAGCACUGAUUGGUUGGCUCUGAAGGCUUGUUACUAGCAGCAGUGUUCUUUCUUCUGUGGAGUGGUGAGUCACGUCUUUCACUGGUUCUCACAAUCUGCGAAAUAGAAAGCCAUAUAGUAGUAGAUCUUGCACUCUAUUAUUAAUGUCUCAAAGAAUGAUACAUGUAAUAAAUAUACUGCUGUAUCGCCGUAAUACCCGGCUACAUCAUCACCAUCAGCAGCAGCAGCCGCUCAAGACGAGAACUGUACACAACUUCUUCCAAUAAAAUCGGUAUUGAAA